Molecule: long non-coding RNA, 398 nt
Filed under: Homo sapiens (human)
Lineage: Eukaryota; Metazoa; Chordata; Mammalia; Primates; Hominidae
Description: HSALNT0358874
Source: RNAcentral
AAGUGAGACACUGUAGCAGACAGUGUCUCCAGGCAGGGUACUGAGCAAAGAGGAUAGUGAAAAGGGCAGUGAAACAUCGGCCUUUUUCACUGGCAACUUCAAGACUCACUGCCUACAAUUUCUUUGCAACUACACGAUCAAAAACAUUUUUUUUGGUGCACAUUAAAAAGACUAGAGAAAUGCUUUAAUACUUUCGAAGACUGAAUAUCUUAAAAAUGGCUCCAAUUCUACUGUCUUAUUCAAGCAAGAUCUCCCUUCCCUAAGGCAAUGGAAGAAGACAUACAGGAGAGAAGGAACUACAAAUAAGAGAGAUCACCUUGAACAAAAGUUCGAAAGUCCAUGAAGCUAUAUAGUUUUUUUCUUUUUGAAUUUGUUCAUAUGCUUGAUCUGUGCCAGGA